UGGAAGUGAGUUGACCAGUGCUGCUAGUACCGUGAUACCAUGCCGAUCAACGCCGAGACGGUGAACCUGGCCGCCACGUACAUGAUUCUUGUGAUCCUGUUGUUCUUCCUCUGGCUGUUCUACUCGGCCAUCUUUUAGCAAUUGCGUGGACGCGUAGGCGCGGCGACAAACCAGCGUCCCCAGUUCCCUGGAGUCGUUUGUCCAGUGAAGUCCUCGAAGCAGUCAGGUGCCAAAGUCGCCAUGCCCAACCACGAGACCACCAACCUGAUAGCCACCUACCUGAUCCUGCUGCUACUGCUGGGGUCUCUGUGGCUGCUGUACUCCGGGCUGUACUGAGACGAGAGCAAGUAAACGUCACCAUGUGAGACCAAAGUGCGAAGCAGAGCUGAAAUGCAACUUAAAUUAAGAAACCGUAAUUUUAGUAUUAAGUUAAUAAGUUAAGCCAUUUUAUACCCGAGCAUUUAAGUUAUCGUAAUGGAGGUCCCUGGUCUGAGACAGGAGCUAUGGUGCUGGGCAUUCCAAUUUAAACUCUAAAAUUUAGAGGAAAGACAGAUAAAACACCGAUUAUGUGAAUAGAGCCUAGCAAUUAAUAUUUGCUGAAAGGCGUAACACCAGAACUAAAGAUUUUAUCAUUGUUAAGAAUAAUUUAAGUGUUUUAAUAAAGAUUUUUCUAUUAA
Molecule: long non-coding RNA, 677 nt
Organism: Amyelois transitella
Lineage: Eukaryota; Metazoa; Arthropoda; Insecta; Lepidoptera; Pyralidae
Exons: 3
Source: RefSeq, a predicted model, not a curated record